UACGGAGGGAGCUAGCGUUGUUCGGAAUUACUGGGCGUAAAGCGCACGUAGGCGGCUUUGUAAGUUAGAGGUGAAAGCUCGGGGCUCAACCCCGGGUCGGCCGUGCGAACUACUGGGCUGGAGCACUGUAGAGGCAGGCGGAAUUCCGGGUGUAGCGGUGGAAUGCGUAGAGAUCCGGAAGAACACCGGUGGCGAAGGCGGCCUGCUGGGCAGUUGCUGACACUGAGGCGCGACAGCGUGGGGAGCAAACAGG
This 253-nucleotide ribosomal RNA is filed under the name uncultured bacterium. Its description in RNAcentral is "partial 16S ribosomal RNA". It matches the Rfam family "Bacterial small subunit ribosomal RNA", at positions 524 to 776 of the family's 1533-position model. The record is from RNAcentral.